GCUAUUUUGGCAGAAUUGAGUGCGAUAGAUUUAGAAUCUAUAAAUAUGAUAAUUAUCAUAAGUAGUA
This 67-nucleotide transfer RNA is filed under the name Yersinia mexicana. RNAcentral's name for it is "tRNA-Leu". It matches the Rfam family "tRNA". Rfam says of the family: Transfer RNA (tRNA) molecules are approximately 80 nucleotides in length. Their secondary structure includes four short double-helical elements and three loops (D, anti-codon, and T loops). Further hydrogen bonds mediate the characteristic L-shaped molecular structure. tRNAs have two regions of fundamental functional importance: the anti-codon, which is responsible for specific mRNA codon recognition, and the 3' end, to which the tRNAs corresponding amino acid is attached (by aminoacyl-tRNA synthetases). tRNAs cope with the degeneracy of the genetic code in two manners: having more than one tRNA (with a specific anti-codon) for a particular amino acid; and 'wobble' base-pairing, i.e. permitting non-standard base-pairing at the 3rd anti-codon position. The record is from RNAcentral. Lineage: Eukaryota; Metazoa; Arthropoda; Insecta; Mantodea; Amelidae.